RNAcentral lists this ribosomal RNA (429 nucleotides) under uncultured bacterium. RNAcentral's name for it is "bacterial SSU rRNA". It matches the Rfam family "Bacterial small subunit ribosomal RNA", at positions 355 to 776 of the family's 1533-position model. The record is from RNAcentral.
UGGGGAAUUUUGGACAAUGGGCGCAAGCCUGAUCCAGCAAUGCCGCGUGCAGGAUGAAGGCCUUCGGGUUGUAAACUGCUUUUGUACGGAACGAAACGGCUCCUUUUAAUACAAGGGGCUAAUGACGGUACCGUAAGAAUAAGCACCGGCUAACUACGUGCCAGCAGCCGCGGUAAUACGUAGGGUGCGAGCGUUAAUCGGAAUUACUGGGCGUAAAGCGUGCGCAGGCGGUUAUAUAAGACAGAUGUGAAAUCCCCGGGCUCAACCUGGGACCUGCAUUUGUGACUGUAUAGCUAGAGUACGGUAGAGGGGGAUGGAAUUCCGCGUGUAGCAGUGAAAUGCGUAGAUAUGCGGAGGAACACCGAUGGCGAAGGCAAUCCCCUGGACCUGUACUGACGCUCAUGCACGAAAGCGUGGGGAGCAAACAGG